This 318-nucleotide ribosomal RNA is filed under the name Triticum aestivum (bread wheat). RNAcentral describes it as "partial small subunit ribosomal RNA". Lineage: Eukaryota; Viridiplantae; Streptophyta; Magnoliopsida; Poales; Poaceae. The record is from RNAcentral.
AUGACUGACCAUACUCAACCAGCGGACGAAUAUUCCAACUACUGGUCCGGUGUCCCCUACAAUCACGCGAUUCUGAUCGCUACCAGUUCCCGAAAUCAAUCUCUUCUUCCCGAGUUCUCCACGCCUCCCCAGCUGCCUCCCGAGUUCGGAUCACCUCCAUCGUCGUCCGCCGACGCGCCUCGCCCGCAGCGCCAUCCGCCACGUGCCUCCUUCCACCCCAAUCGGAGGCAGCAGAGGCGGAGAGGCACGUCGCGCCGCCACAUCUGGAGAGGGAGGGGCAGGGGAACGGACAUCACGUUGGAUGUGCUUCGCAGUUAA